This 440-nucleotide ribosomal RNA is filed under the name uncultured bacterium. Its description in RNAcentral is "partial 16S ribosomal RNA". It matches the Rfam family "Bacterial small subunit ribosomal RNA", at positions 338 to 795 of the family's 1533-position model. The record is from RNAcentral.
CCUACGGGAGGCAGCAGUGGGGGAUAUUGCACAAUGGGGGAAACCCUGAUGCAGCGACGCCGCGUGAGUGAAGAAGUAUUUCGGUAUGUAAAGCUCUAUCAGCAGGGAAGAAAAUGACAGUUCCUGACCAAAAAGCCCCGGCUAACUACGUUCCAGCAGCCGCGGUAAAACGUAGGGGGCCAGCGUUAUCCGGAUUUACUGGGUGGAAAGGGAGCGUAGACGGUUAUGUAAGGCUGGAGUGAAAGGCCGGGGCCCAACCCCGGGACUGCUUUGGAAACUGGUUAACUGGAGUUCAGGAGGGGCAGGCGGAAUUCCUGGUGUAGCGGUGAAAUGCGUAGAUAUCAGGAGGAACACCGGCGGCGAAGGCGGCCUGCUGGACUGAAACUGACGUGGAGGCUCGAAAGCGUGGGGAGCAAACAGGAUUAGAUACCCUAGUAGUC